Molecule: long non-coding RNA, 755 nt
Filed under: Parus major (Great Tit)
Lineage: Eukaryota; Metazoa; Chordata; Aves; Passeriformes; Paridae
Description: lncRNA (ENSPMJG00000011056.1)
Source: RNAcentral
CCUGCAGAAACCCAGUUCUGGUUGCAAGAAUCAUGGCAAAUGCACAUGAUUUACUGCUGAUGCACCUAAAGAGCUGUGGUGUCUAGAUAAGGCAAGUCAAGGCAGUUCUAACUUACUAGCACAAUUUACUUAACAUAACAUAGCUGAUUUGAUUUUUUGUGAAUAAAGUAUAAGAAUUUUUUUUAUGAUCUUGGUUUUUUUUUGCUUCUUUCUCUUUCUGCAUAUUGUCUCUCUUCCUCUGUCUUUCCUUUUCCUUCUCAGAGAAGCUGUUUGGAAACUUGGGGCGGUUUUGCUGUCUGCAUUUGUUGUCUUUAGCCCCUGUGUUUUGGAGAAGUGCCUGCCCACAGCAGUCGAGCCAGACUUCCAGGGCUGGAAGCACAUCUUCUAAAUCAUGGAUGUUAAGGGGAUGGGUAACAACAGGCAGAUUCUUGCUAUCCUGGAUGAAAAUGCCACCUGCUGAUGGUAUCCAUUCCACCCUUUCCAUUCUAACUGAAGUCUGCCAUGGGCUCAAGGGGGCUACCACUGCCCAGUGCCCCCAGCAGCCCCUCUUUCAGUUCCUUGGUACCUGGGUUGGGAUGGGAGAUCUUCUUCCAAGGGACAUGUUAAACUCUUCUUUCUUAUGGGGUUAUGUGCAAUUUCCUUCUUGAAGUGAUGUUUCCCCUUAAACCCAUGAUUUUUUAGACUUCCUUCCCACCUUUUAUGCAUAUUGUGAGCUGGAAAAUAAACCUUUAAGUGCCUUGAAGCUGCUGCUGGCU